CCUACGGGAGGCAGCAGUGAGGAAUAUUGGUCAAUGGGCGUAAGCCUGAACCAGCCAAGUCGCGUGAGGGAUGAAGGUUCUAUGGAUCGUAAACCUCUUUUAUAAGGGAAUAAAGUGUGGGACGUGUCCUGUUUUGUAUGUACCUUAUGAAUAAGGAUCGGCUAACUCCGUGCCAGCAGCCGCGGUAAUACGGAGGAUCCGAGCGUUAUCCGGAUUUAUUGGGUUUAAAGGGUGCGUAGGCGGGUCUUUAAAUCAGCGUGGCAAGUCUGUGGCUGAACCCUCGAAUUGCCGUUGAAACUGGGUGUCUUGAGUGGGUGUGAGGCACGCGGCAUUCGUGGUGUCGCGGUGAAAGGCAUAGAUAUCCCGCAGAACCCCGAUUGCGAGGGGAGCUUGACAACUCAGGACUGACGCUGAUUCACGAAAGCGUGGGUAUCAAACAGGAUUAGAUACCCCUGUAGUC
This 460-nucleotide ribosomal RNA is filed under the name uncultured bacterium. Its description in RNAcentral is "partial 16S ribosomal RNA". It matches the Rfam family "Bacterial small subunit ribosomal RNA", at positions 338 to 795 of the family's 1533-position model. The record is from RNAcentral.